UGGGGGUUCGUCUAACGGUAGGACAGCGGACUCUGACUCCGCCAGUCGAGGUUCAAAUCCUCGACCCCCAGCCA
RNAcentral lists this transfer RNA (74 nucleotides) under Gammaproteobacteria bacterium RIFCSPLOWO2_02_FULL_52_10. RNAcentral's name for it is "tRNA-Gln". It matches the Rfam family "tRNA". From Rfam's summary of the family: Transfer RNA (tRNA) molecules are approximately 80 nucleotides in length. Lineage: Bacteria; Pseudomonadati; Pseudomonadota; Gammaproteobacteria. The record is from RNAcentral. RNAcentral also lists the same sequence under 1 other name.